CGGAAGCCUGAACCAGCCAUGCCGCGUGCAGGAUGACUGCCCUAUGGGUUGUAAACUGCUUUUGUACGGGAAUAAACCUCUCUACGAGUAGAGAGCUGAACGUACCGUAAGAAUAAGGAUCGGCUAACUCCGUGCCAGCAGCCGCGGUAAUACGGAGGAUCCGAGCGUUAUCCGGAUUUAUUGGGUUUAAAGGGUGCGUAGGCGGGACUUUAAGUCAGGAGUGAAAGACGGCAGCUUAACUGUCGCAGUGCUCUUGAUACUGAAGUUCUUGAAUGCCGUUGAAGAUGGCGGAAUGAGACAAGUAGCGGUGAAAUGCAUAGAUAUGUCUCAGAACUCCGAUUGCGAAGGCAGCUAUCUAAGCGGUGAUUGACGCUGAUGCACGAAAGCGUGGGGAUCAAACAGGAUUAGAUACCCUGGUAGUCCACGCCCUAAACGAUGAUGACUCGAUGUUAGCGAUAUACCGUUAGCGUCCAAGCGAAAGCGUUAAGUCAUCCACCUGGGGAGUACGCCCGCAAGGGUGAAACUCAAAGGAAUUGACGGGGGCCCGCACAAGCGGAGGAGCAUGUGGUUUAAUUCGAUGAUACGCGAGGAACCUUACCCGGGCUUGAAAGUUAGUGAAUGGAGCAGAGACGCUCCAGUCCUUCGGGACACGAAACUAGGUGCUGCAUGGCUGUCGUCAGCUCGUGCCGUGAGGUGUUGGGUUAAGUCCCGCAACGAGCGCAACCCCUAUGUUUAGUUGCCAGCACAUAAUGGUGGGGACUCUAAACAGACUGCCUGUGCAAACAGUGAGGAAGGCGGGGACGACGUCAAGUCAUCAUGGCCCUUACGUCCGGGGCUACACACGUGCUACAAUGGAUGGUACAACGGGCAGCUACACAGCAAUGUGAUGCCAAUCUC
Molecule: ribosomal RNA, 897 nt
Filed under: uncultured bacterium
Lineage: Bacteria
Description: bacterial SSU rRNA
Rfam family: Bacterial small subunit ribosomal RNA
Source: RNAcentral